Molecule: ribosomal RNA, 460 nt
Filed under: uncultured bacterium
Lineage: Bacteria
Description: partial 16S ribosomal RNA
Rfam family: Bacterial small subunit ribosomal RNA
Source: RNAcentral
CCUACGGGAGGCAGCAGUGAGGAAUAUUGGUCAAUGGACGAGCGUCUGAACCAGCCAAGUAGCGUGAAGGAUGACUGCCCUAUGGGUUGUAAACUUCUUUUAUAUGGGAAUAAAAUGUUCCACGUGUGGGAUUUUGUAUGUACCAUAUGAAUAAGGAUCGGCUAACUCCGUGCCAGCAGCCGCGGUAAGACGGAGGAUCCGAGCGUUAUCCGGAUUUAUUGGGUUUAAAGGGAGCGUAGGUGGAUUGUUAAGUCAGUUGUGAAAGUUUGCGGCUCAACCGUAAAAUUGCAGUUGAAACUGGCAGUCGUGAGUACAGUAGAGGUGGGCGGAAUUCGUGGUGUAGCGGUGAAAUGCUUAGAUAUCACGAAGAACUCCGAUUGCGAAGGCAGCUCACUGGACUGCAACUGACACUGAGGCUCGAAAGUGUGGGUAUCAAACAGGAUUAGAUACCCGUGUAGUC